RNAcentral lists this ribosomal RNA (573 nucleotides) under uncultured bacterium. RNAcentral's name for it is "bacterial SSU rRNA". It matches the Rfam family "Bacterial small subunit ribosomal RNA", at positions 355 to 896 of the family's 1533-position model. The record is from RNAcentral.
UAGGGAAUCUUCGGCAAUGGACGGAAGUCUGACCGAGCAACGCCGCGUGAGUGAAGAAGGUUUUCGGAUCGUAAAGCUCUGUUGUAAGAGAAGAACGAGUGUGAGAGUGGAAAGUUCACACUGUGACGGUAUCUUACCAGAAAGGGACGGCUAACUACGUGCCAGCAGCCGCGGUAAUACGUAGGUCCCAAGCGUUGUCCGGAUUUAUUGGGCGUAAAGCGAGCGCAGGCGGUUAGAUAAGUCUGAAGUUAAAGGCUGUGGCUUAACCAUAGUACGCUUUGGAAACUGUUUAACUUGAGUGCAAGAGGGGAGAGUGGAAUUCCAUGUGUAGCGGUGAAAUGCGUAGAUAUAUGGAGGAACACCGGUGGCGAAAGCGGCUCUCUGGCUUGUAACUGACGCUGAGGCUCGAAAGCGUGGGGAGCAAACAGGAUUAGAUACCCUGGUAGUCCACGCCGUANACGAUGAGUGCUAGGUGUUAGACCCUUUCCNGCGUUUANNGGNGUUACUUCCGGGGGUUUAGUGCCGUAGCUAACGCAUUAAGCACUCCGCCUGGGGAGUACGACCGCAAGGUUG